Molecule: ribosomal RNA, 588 nt
Filed under: Debaryomyces hansenii
Lineage: Eukaryota; Fungi; Ascomycota; Pichiomycetes; Serinales; Debaryomycetaceae
Description: partial 26S ribosomal RNA
Rfam family: Eukaryotic large subunit ribosomal RNA
Source: RNAcentral
GGAGGAAAAGAAACCAACAGGGAUUGCCUUAGUAACGGCGAGUGAAGCGGCAAAAGCUCAAAUUUGAAAUCUGGCACCUUCGGUGUCCGAGUUGUAAUUUGAAGAAGGUAACUUUGGAGUUGGCUCUUGUCUAUGUUCCUUGGAACAGGACGUCACAGAGGGUGAGAAUCCCGUGCGAUGAGAUGCCCAAUUCUAUGUAAAGUGCUUUCGAAGAGUCGAGUUGUUUGGGAAUGCAGCUCUAAGUGGGUGGUAAAUUCCAUCUAAAGCUAAAUAUUGGCGAGAGACCGAUAGCGAACAAGUACAGUGAUGGAAAGAUGAAAAGAACUUUGAAAAGAGAGUGAAAAAGUACGUGAAAUUGUUGAAAGGGAAGGGCUUGAGAUCAGACUUGGUAUUUUGCGAUCCUUUCCUUCUUGGUUGGGUUCCUCGCAGCUUACUGGGCCAGCAUCGGUUUGGAUGGUAGGAUAAUGACUAAGGAAUGUGGCUCUACUUCGGUGGAGUGUUAUAGCCUUGGUUGAUACUGCCUGUCUAGACCGAGGACUGCGUCUUUUGACUAGGAUGUUGGCAUAAUGAUCUUAANCCACCCGUCUU